This 450-nucleotide ribosomal RNA is filed under the name uncultured Glomeromycotina. RNAcentral describes it as "SSU rRNA". It matches the Rfam family "Eukaryotic small subunit ribosomal RNA", at positions 569 to 1025 of the family's 1831-position model. Lineage: Eukaryota; Fungi; Glomeromycota. The record is from RNAcentral.
AGCAGCCGCGGUAAUUCCAGCUCCAAUAGCGUAUAUUAAAGUUGUUGCAGUUAAAAGCUCGUAGUUGAAUUUCGGGAUUAGUACGCUGGUCGUGCCUUUGGUAUGUACUGGUGUUACUGAUUCCUACCUUCUGACGAACCGUCAUGUCAUUAAUUUGGUGUGGCGGGGAAUCAGGACUGUUACUUUGAAAAAUUAGAGUGUUUAAAGCAGGCUCGCGCUUGAAUACAUUAGCAUGGAAUAAUGAAAUAGGACGUUCGAUCCUAUUUUGUUGGUUUCUAGGAUUGACGUAAUGAUUAAUAGGGAUAGUUGGGGGCAUUAGUAUUCAAUUGUCAGAGGUGAAAUUCUUGGAUUUAUUGAAGACUAACUACUGCGAAAGCAUUUGCCAAGGAUGUUUUCAUUAAUCAAGAACGAAAGUUAAGGGAUCGAAGACGAUCAGAUACCGUCGUAGUC